Long non-coding RNA from Passer domesticus (house sparrow), 713 nucleotides. RefSeq lists it as uncharacterized. The transcript is spliced from 2 exons. The record is from RefSeq and is a predicted model, not a curated record. NCBI's taxonomy places the organism in Eukaryota, Metazoa, Chordata, Aves, Passeriformes, Passeridae.
UGCGGUCGCAGCCGCAUUUUGGGGUAAAACCCCCAGGUUUGGGGUAAAUCCCGCCUGUUUGGGGUAAAACCCGCCUGUUUGGGGCAAAACCUGCCGUUUGGAGUAAAACCCGCCGGUCUGGGGUCUGCUUCCCGGCCCUGAGAGCCCGGGGAUGGGAAUCAGUGAAGACAGGCAGCAGGAAAUCUGGGCUCCUUUUCCUUUUCCUUUUUCCUUUUCUUUUGCUCCAGGACAGCUCUGGAUGCUGCUUUUGGAUAACCUGCUAUUUUUCGGGCUGAAUAUCCAUUCUCCAGCAGCAAUCACACCCUUCCACGGGUCCACUUAACCCUAAACCACAGGACAAACAUCCCAAGGAAACCAGCGGGGCCCCACACGGCGACUGGGAACGAUCCUGCCUUGGAUUGAGGCUGAUUUUCUCCUCUCCUGGGUUUGUUUUUCCCCAUCCCUGGGGGAUCUCAGCUCAGUUCAGCACGCUCCAGCCAUCCCUGCUGCCCUGCCCUGCCCGUGCCAGCCUUUCCAAGGAGACCAGACCCGCUGGGCCGAGGAUUUUUUGGGAUUUUAGCAGAGCACCGAGGCUGUUUCUCCCCCUGCGAGCCAAGAGGGACAGAGCAGAGGCCAAGCUCGUGCCCCUGGGGAUGGAAUUGUGCCCACGGGAGCAGAAUUCCCCUCACCUGGCGGCAGCUGCUGCUCCUGGAUCCCGGAUUCUGGAAUACCCC